This 393-nucleotide ribosomal RNA is filed under the name uncultured bacterium. RNAcentral's name for it is "bacterial SSU rRNA". It matches the Rfam family "Bacterial small subunit ribosomal RNA", at positions 30 to 424 of the family's 1533-position model. The record is from RNAcentral.
AUUGAACGCUGGCGGCAUGCCUUACACAUGCAAGUCGAACGGCAGCACGGGAGCAAUCCUGGUGGCGAGUGGCGAACGGGUGAGUAAUGUAUCGGAACGUACCUUUCAGUGGGGGGAUAACGUAGCGAAAGUUACGCUAAUACCGCAUAUUCUGUGAGCAGGAAAGCAGGGGAUCGCAAGACCUUGCGCUGAUUGAGCGGCCGAUAUCAGAUUAGCUAGUUGGUGAGGUAAAGGCUCACCAAGGCGACGAUCUGUAGCGGGUCUGAGAGGAUGAUCCGCCACACUGGAACUGAGACACGGUCCAGACUCCUACGGGAGGCAGCAGUGGGGAAUUUUGGACAAUGGGCGCAAGCCUGAUCCAGCCAUGCCGCGUGAGUGAAGAAGGCCUCGGUU